UUUUUUUGGGGGGGGAAUAAAGAAGAAAAAAAUUAUUUUCCCCCCCCCCAGGCACAGGGCUGGCGUGGGGGAUCCACCUUUCACCAGACUGCAACAUGAGAUCUACUUUUUUGGUAACGUGUGUCAAUCUUCUUUAAUUUUACUUGCCUGCCUGCCUUCUCUCUCACUCUCCCAUUUUCUUCUUACCUGUUUCUUUUUUUAAAAAAAUCUAAUCGAAAAAGAAAAUGUGUUGAUGCUGAGUUGCUGCAACCCAUUAGAUGUGAAUGUCACGUGUGGGUGUAUAGAUAUAGAUAUAUCCAGACAAUGACAUUGCAAAUGAACAAAGAAGGCCUCAAAUGAAUACAGUAUGUAGCAAGCACCCAAAUCUUUAGAGUUUUAAAAACUCUUCCCAUUGUUUCUUCCCAUUCAAUAGGAAUGAUGGCUUCUGAUUUGGCCUGCAUUACUUCCAACAGAGACCUACAGCGAUUUCCCCAAACCUGGUUCCCUCCAUGUGUUCAGAAGGCCGCUCCCAUCAUCUGUAGCCAGAAUGGGCUUGGGCUGAUGGGAGUUGUACAGUGGUACGUCAGGUUAAGUACUUAAUUCGUUCCAGAGGUCCGUACUUAACCUGAAACUGUUCUUAACCUGAAGCAGCACGUUAGCUAAUGGGGCCUCCUGCUGCCGCCGCGCCGCUGGAGCACAAUUUCUGUUCUCAUCCUGAAGCAAAGUUCUUAACCUGAAGCACUAUUUCUGGGUUAAUGGAGUCUGUAACCUGAAGCGUAUGUAACCUGAAGUGUAUGUAACCUGAGGUACCACUGUAUUCCAAAAUAUCUAGAGGAGAUCAGGUUGAGGAAGGCUGAGCUACAGUAUUCAAAGCCACCAGUCUAUCAGGUGGCUUAAACAUAACUCCAAACUUCUGUGAAAGCAGAUUAUAAUUGACUGCACCAUUCUCCCCUCCUAUGUGUGUGUUUGCUCUUCAAUGUAUCAUGUGUUUCUAUGUCUCAUAAAAAUCUCUAAGUGGUUCACAAAGUGAUAAGUAGUGUGUGUUUGUGCGAGAGAGAGAGAGACAGAGAGAGAGAGAGAGAGAGAGAGAUAAACAUAAACAUAAAAUAAUAAAAUCCCAGAAAGGCAAAACAAAAGCAAAACAAAACCCCAACAAAACAAAACUUAGCAGCACAGUUUAAAAACAUUGUAAGAGCUGAGGAAAGUUCGUCAGAAUAGAUGAGUUUUCAGCUUUUAUUUGAAGUGCCUCAUAUCUGGUCCUCCUCUUAUAAUGCAAUAGGGAGGCCAUUCCAGAGAACUGCUGCUAUCACAGGAGAGGCCUGCUUCCAAGAAACCAUUAAAUGACAGUCUGCCCAAGAUAGUAUAUUUAGCAGGGCCUCCCCCAAAGCGGCUUCAUCCAAAGCACUGACCCACAUGCACGGAAACACGACAAAUCUAGAUAUUGCAUCUAGACAUAAAUUGAACAGAACAACUGUAUUUACCUGAGAGGUUCGUCCCUGCUCAUUAGUCUCGUAGAACACAGAUUAAUUUCAGUGGACCUGGUGUAAAAACAGGGCUUGAUGAGGGGUAGGUAGAAAAUGAUAUUACUGGGAAAUUGCUUUGUCAUUUUCUCACUGUUGAGAGCAGUAAUCCAUGCAGUUAAUUCUUCUUUAUUAAUCACAGGCUGCAUAUAAUAUUAAUAGGAAGGCUUCAAUGGAAAAAAACACACAAUUAAAAUAAACUAUUUAUACCUCUUGUUUCCUCCUUUAGAUGAAAGAAUUUGUUACCUUUGUUGAAUGUUCCCUAACCUGUAUACAGACAAUGGUAUUUAAUUUAGUUACUGAAUUGACUGGUAAAUUAAGAGCAAGCCAAUUUAAAAGCCAGCCAAUUAACUGUUUAAAAACCCUCAGUUAAAUGCCUGCCAUCACUUUUUGCCAAUAGUACACACUUUCCCCCUUGAUGAUACUGGUUCAAAAAUAGAAACAAAGUAACAUAAGCAAGUAAGGAUCUUUGCAGGAAUUGAACAAAUUGGCCUCCCCCCCUCCGAGUCUAGAUUAGUUUUCAAUUUGUUUACUCGUAAGUCUUAUUGCUGCUAUUAAUAUUAUUAUUAUUAUUAUUAUUAUUAUUAUUAUUAUUAUUACAGUGGAACCUCGGGUUAAGAACUUAAUUCGUUCUGGAGGUCCCUACUUAACCUGAAACUGUUCUUAACCAGAGGUACCACUUUAGCUAAUGGGGCCUCCCACUGCCGCCGCUGCACCGCUGCCACACAAUUUCUGUUCUCAUCCUGAAGCAAAGUUCUUAACCCAAGGUACUAUUUCUGGGUUAGUGGAGUUUGUAACCUGAAGCGUCUGUAACCUGAAGCAUCUGUAACCCGAGGUACCACUGUAAAGCCACUGUGGAUUGUCAUUAGGAGAUAUUGGACAAGUUGUCCACAGUAUGCUGAUGACAGCCAGCUCUGUUUCUCUGUCGUUGAAAUCAAUAAAAGCUAUGCAUGUCCUAGACUAGUGCCUGGAUGUAGCCAUGUGCUAAUAAACUGUGACUUAAUUCAGUCAGAGACUCUGUGGAUGGGUGGUUAUCAGAGCCUUGAAGAGCAGGUGCAUAUAAUGUAGGAGUGCUCCUAGAUCCAUCGCUGUCACUAGAGGACUGUGUGACAUCAAUGGUUUGGAACACCUGUCAUCACUGGUUGAUGUGGCAACUACAGCUUACCAUUGAGAUCCUCUGAUGGAAUUCGAUAGAAUGGCAUAGAAAUGAAAGGUCUGCUGUCAUAAUGAAAAUUGGCUCGUUUAUACUAUAGGUGUGCAUUGGAAAACAGAAUCCUUGCUUGGUAGAGAGAUGCAACCUUUUCUGGCACCCCAACACAUUUCACAAAUCUUGAGGAAGUAUUACCUCCCCCCCCCUCCUUUCUUUUAAACUUCUCUCAAAAUCAGAUACUUUGCCUGAGCAGGUCUUUGCAAACUGACUUCACAUUUCAUCUGAAGAGAAGUAUGGUAAGAAAUCCGUUACGUGGCAUCACCGCAGAUGUUGGUGACCUUGUAGGUUGACAUGUCUGAAGGUCUCAGAUAAGAUACAAGUAUUUACAGAUCCCAAAAAGCUGUCAGGAACUGCCUUUGAGAAGUGCUCAGAAACUUCAACUGGCUCACAGUGCUGUAGCCAGAUUGUUGACUGGGGCCGGUUAUAAGGGAGUAUAACAUGGUAGCUGCUCCCUUUCCUACAACAGUCCGUUUCUGGGCACAAGUCAAAGUGCUGAUUAUGACUAUGAAGCCCUACAAGGCUUAGGACCAAGCUUUCUGAAAGACCAUAUUCCCUCAUACAAACUUGGUUGGGUUUUGAGUUCUCCAGGGGAGGACCUUCUCUUGGUCCCACCACCUUCACAGCGUGCCUGGUGGGGAGAGUGCCUUCAUGGUGGCUGCUCCCAGAUGUUGGAACUCCCUCGCUAGAGAAACUAGACUGGUUCCGUCCUUGUUGUCCUUCCACUGGCAGGUGGAGACUUUCUUGUUCCAACCAGAUUUUGGGAACUGACUGCUUUGAAUGAAAAGGUGGCUGCUGUGCUGUUUUUAUUGUAAUUAUUUGUAUGAUUCUAAAAGAUUUUAUAUAUUUAUAUAGGUUUAAUUUUAUCAAUGUUUAGUUGUUUUUAGUUUUUCUCUGUGUUUUUAUUUUUAUCUGUAAGCUGCAUUGUGUCCCAUCAGGGAAGGAGAGGGGGGGAGAGAAACACACACACACACUCACACACACCACCACCACCACUCUUCCCCCUCCCACACACCAUGAACACAUCAGUUUCUGAACAUGUGAAUUUUAGCACAGUGUAUACAUCUAUGACUGAUGAGAACCACUUACUCCAAGAUUUUGCAACGAACCAAGAUUUCUACCUGCUUUUCAUCCCUGAUGGCUAUUACUGAGAUAACCCGUUGUGCCAUUUUGAGGACAUGUUUUCUGAUUUGCUUUGCUGGUAUUCCUUUCCUUUCCUCGAUUUCUUUUUAUCUUAUUUAUGCUUUGCCAUGUGAGUUGUGUUUCUAUUCAGAUUGUAGUAAAUUAUUUAUACAUUAGCAUCUAUGCAUAUAAAUUAGGAGGCAAAUUUGUGUCCUCUUCUGCCCCCUUUUGCAUGUGUGUAAGUGACCAUCCUAUGGGUACCAUUUUCUCCACCACAAAAGCUCACGUAAGGGCAGAAAGCAUGUAUCUACUGGUGUCCUGUGGGGGCGUUAUAACUUUGUGUGGCUGUUAUAACUUUGGGGUCUCCAUUUUAGCAAGGGGGGGAGGAAGGCAUCGUGACCCAGCCCUGAACUUUCAUCCUAAUCCUGAGCCACCAUAACUGAAGUUCUAAAGACAGAGGGGAAACGACAGGCUGCCAAUUGUCAUGAAUGCCUUUUGGUUUCCUGCUAUUGUGAAUUAUAGACUGGAGGAUCCCAGUGUCCUACUUCAAACAAGGCUUUAAUGCACAGCAUGCAAUUGGAUGGUUGGCCUCUUUCUGAGAAGCAAUCUGUGCAACACAGGCCUGGGAAGAAUUUGAUAAUUUAAUUAUAGGGCAUGGCUCGCAAACCUCUUUUGUGCCUCUAAAUAGUUUUAAAGGCAGGCUUUAUCUGCAAGGAGGCAGAAAGGGAGCUGGGUAACCUCAGGUUGCAUGGAUAAAACCAGUUCUGGGGAAGUCCACCUGACACUUCAGUACACAAUGUGUGCUGAGUUUCAUUACUACCUCUGAGCUAGCAGAUUUCACAUUCAGUUUUAAUGGCCUGCAUGAGAUGAAAGGGUAUGCCUUUGUGAAGAUAUUGGAACGCUUGAGAUCUUAUUCCUACGUGAUAGCAAAACAUGAACAGAAUUGGUUUCAAAACAGUGUAGGCUCUUUGCCUCAUUUUGGAGCUAGGAGCCUGCACACAGACUUUACUCUGAAAAAUUAGAGCUUGAUAAAGGUGGAAGGACAAUGGUCAGUAGGCUAAAAAUGCAAUAAUUUUCAUUUUCUUGGAUAGGUUCACUUUAUUUGAUUGUUGGCGCCAUCCAGUAACAUUGGAAAAUAAUUUCCUCCCAAUAUUAUGUUUUGAAUCAUUGGAAGCACACCAGGUAGCAUGUUCACUGCCAGAUAGGAUUUUAUAGGAUCUUAUCGAACUGUUGCAUUCCUUAACAUUCCUUUAAAGGCCUUAUUCCAAGAAGAAACCUCUAUUUUUGCCUUGGAAUACAUACAUACAUACAUAUGUAAUUUUAUUUGUGUGCCCCCUUUCCACAGGGAAAUUUUCAAGGCAGCUUACAAGAAAAGCAACAACUACAAUUUAACAAAAGGUAGUCAUAAACAACAAAUAAAGCAUUAAAAAUGCAAAACCAAACUGAACAAUUUCCACAUAACUCUUAAAAGGUACAAGGAACCAACAGCAACAACUGUCCCAACCCCAAACCCCAACCCAAAGAACACACCAGCCCCUUUAGAAAUGUCACGUUUAGUAGUGCACACACAAACAUACUUGGCUAGAAAAGGUUCAAGCAAUGGGCAAUGAUUAUGAGCUCAGCUUUUUCUGUACUUGUUGCUGUGUGCUAUAGAGGACAUAGACAUUGGGAGCUAGCCGAUUAGGGCAAACGGGGCACUGCCCCACCAACCUUGGUAUGCUCUCACCAACACCACAUGCCUGCCUUCCCACAUGCACCCAUUCUAGGGAGUGGCACUGGCUGUCAACUUCCUUCUCAGCCUCAGUUUUGACCCAUAUUGAACUCAGCAGGGAGGAAGAGGAGGGCAAAGCUAGAAUUAGCUUGCUCCAACACUCAUUGGCUCUGGCUCCACUUACUGACGUCUCCUUGGCUUCCUCAACAGCCACCACUUGGCAUAGUCAUGUUUGGAAUAACCAAAAUGUAUGCUAUGCAACCCUUUACAGGCAAUGACUGAUUGAUGCGCGAUUGCACACACAUGUGUGGUGCUGAACCUGGAAGUGACCCUAAAAUGUCACUAAAAGUGGGAAUGGAAUGCUUUACGCAGGGCCCACUGACACGUGGUUGCGGGAGGGGUCCAGAACAUAACUCCUGUUCAAAACAAGGAUUGCCUGCACUCAUGUAGCUGUUUUGGUGCUUUGUUUAACCGUUGAGCAGAGCAGUGCAUGUUGGGUAAGCUGAAAAUUGAACGCUUUUCUGAAAUCUGGUAAUUGGGGGAAUAAUUCUUUUAACAAUUUCACCUAGCACUACUGCUGUCUUAUUGGGAGUAGCUUUGAGUUUGACAUUUUAGGAGAUGAAUGAGGCCUACUAAUGGAAAGAAAGCUCUCUGGUGUUUUUCAAUAGGUCUGAAAUAAUAAGGUGCUGAGUCAUUUUCCAAACCACAUCCUUUCCAGUAACAGGACUGUCCCCCCACAUUCUCUAGCCACUGGCCGAUAAGUAGGAUUCAUUAUUUCAGCUUCAACUUGAACAGGAUUUACAUUCCUUUCUGGUCCAAAGCAGAUCUAAAUCACAUUGUCAGCAUGCUGCUUUUGUGCUAUCACCUUAAAAAGAUUUUUUAUAGCUUUGCUGUACCCAGUCAGAGGCAGAGAUAACAUUAAGCUGCUUUCAAUAUGCAUGUAAUUUUUUUAAAAAAAAUAUUUUUGCUAAGGAGUCAAUAAAAAAUGAAUAGGAAGCUGUUGGGUGAUGGAGACAGAAUGACACAGAGGUUUAACCCUCCUUUAUUACCCGCAAUGAGAGUUCAAAAUCAAGCACAACAUAUGAAAAUAAGUCACAUUUCUUGAGGGGUGGCGGUAACUUUUGUGUGUGUUGUUUAUUGCUUGUGUAAAAUGUAAAUUUGGGGGAACUAUAAAGAAUGUUUCAGUGGCUUUGCUUUGGGUGAAACAAAUCAGAGCAGAAAGGAGGCCCCAGUUCAACUUAGCGACAUUAAACUUUUUGUAAAUUACUGAUUUUUACAAAGUUGUAUUCUCUAAUGGGGCAGACCCUUCUUUCUCUGAAUAUUAAUCUGAAGCAGUUCUUUUUAGUAAUCUGCCGCUUUUCAUGUUGGCCCUGUUCAUGUGCCUAUAACUGACUUUGACAUUAUUUUCUGCAAUAGAGUAAUAUGGUUACUACUUUCAGUGUUGCGCCUUUCAACAGCAAACUCACAUUGACAUUUAGAAGCUUUUAUUUUCCCUCCCCCAACCCCACAUUAGGCAGCUAUUCCUCACGUUCUCUUCAUUACUUUGUACUGCAUGCAAGAUCAUUUUUCUUUUUCCUAAGAGGAACAAAUGAUAUGAUGGUUAUUAUUUUGGUGCUCGCCACCAAAAACGAAGUCUCCAGGCAACUUUUGCUAGAGCCGUUUCCCAGCUUAUCUGAUAUGUGAGGAUUAGUUCUCAGAAUUGAAAACUUGGAAACGUUGGCACAAAGAAAGGCCACAAGCUGUUUGGAAGCCAAGACUGCGAUUAAGAUGCACAAAGUUCCCUUUGCUGGCUAUGGAGCAGGUUGGGGAGUCCAAUGAUGACUCGCUUCCUUUGACACAGUUUGUAAAUUAAGUUGAUCUUUCUGAGCUUACUUGGAAACCUCUUGGAGUCUGAGGCUUUCCCAGUAGUUCUAGCUCAUAUUAUUGGUGCCAGCCCUCUCCCCAGCCAUCCUUUUCCUAAUGUUUACUGUUUCAAUGGAAGUGGAGAGACUAACACCAAGGAGUGCUUGCAACAAAGGGAAAGGCCUCUUCCUUAAGACCUGACUGACUCACAUUGCCUUGGAGAAGCACUAGGAAAUAUAGUUACAAGUGCUUCCUCCUGCCCUCUGUAUUGGGAGGCAUUGGGCACUAACUACACUUCCUACAUUCUCUGCCAUUGAUCAGCCCCUGGAGUACAUCUAAAAGCCUUAAAGAUUAAUAUACUGCUGCUCAUUCCCCACCCCUUUCGUAAUGAUAUGUUUGGGGGAAAUGGGUGUAGGAUUGAGCAGAGUUUCCUGCUGGCUGGGAGGGGUGGCGCUGAUCAAGCUGAUGACAAAUAAGGCUUAAAAAUCAGAAAGCAUUGAGGCUCCACUUGCAAUAAGCUCCAGGUUCUCCUGUCUGGGGAGUUCAUUUUCCCCAGGGGUGGUGACUCCCAUUUCAGCACUAAAUGUGGACAUUCUGCCCUGUCGCUGUCCCACUGUUGUAAGCCAAAAAUGGCUUAUCUUCUGAGUUUACGCCAAUGAAACUCAGAGACGAGAGAAGUUAGGAGUCCAGCAUUUAUCAGAAGGCCAUAGGUUACAGUCGAAUUGUUUCGCAAAACUGCAACCCCGCCCAAGGGUCCGGGUGGUGGUAUUUAUAACAUUUCAAGCAAAGGAUUUCAAUUUACAUGUACAUUUCAUGUUUAAUACACGUGCACAAUAAGCAUUAGCAAUUUCUGCUGAUUCAGUUCUGAUUUCCACUGCUUUCUGUUAAAGUUCUAAUUUCUGUUACAUUGUGUUAGUAUGCACGUUGGGAACCUGUGUUAUGUGUAUUCAUUUGCACCAUGUAGCAACUUAUGUUCUCGUUUAUGAGCUGUAUCUUUGUGAUUCAUAUAUUAGCUGUACUUCUGCCCCAAUUGGGAGGGAGGCAGGGGGGGCAACUUGCAAAAGCAUCAGUUUCAUAAAGCAAAAGGUUACCAUAACUUCUCUGUUAGAAGCACACUCAAGGAUUUACAAGAAUACACUUUAUCACAUUUAUUGUGGCCCUUUGGGCCACCAUCACACCACUGCCCCCCCUUACACGGGUUGUGUAGCAGCACUCGCAAAGUGGCAGCAGCAGUGGCAUUGACUUCUGAUGAGAUCCUGCAAGACCGCUCUAAGAUCACGGAAAAUCUUGCAAGGCUUUGGUGAGAUCUUGCAACAUCUCAAUGGAAGUUGGCACCACUGCCUGCACCGCUUCUCUGCUCGCAGUGGGGUACCAACUCUUGGGCUUCCACCCCCCAAAGUGGCUGCCUCACCCCACCUCACGGGGUGGCCCUGGUUUCUGUUCCAUUGCUAAUGAAAACAAAAUCGUCCUUCCAUACUAACUAAUAGGGGUAUGCCAUUUUCAGAUGCAGGGUUUGCUUUGAAGGGCAACAUCCAUAGGGGUGAAAAGUCAAACGCUUACUCAUGUACAGUAUAGACUGUAAGGUUUCAUUGCCAUGUUUACAUCAUAUUCUUCCCUGCCACAAUGCAGCUUUUUAAGCAGGAGAACUGUGGCAGAAUGUAUAUGGCUUUUAAGAUACUCAAGGUCCCCCACCCUUGUCUGCCUGCAAGAAUGGCUUUCAGUAUUCAACUCACUGCAUGGGUUACUUGUAGGCAUUAGAAAUAAAAUGAACAAGGCCUUUUAAGGCACCUUUUGCUAGAAAUAUAGUGGGGGUGCAAUAGUGUGGCAGAUCCACAUUUAUUAAGGAAGCAGAUCAAGCAACACCUUUCUCAAGUCAUUGCCGGGGUUGGUUACUAUGGCAACUCUCUGAGGAGUGACCUCCUUUACUGCUUAAAUAGACCGUGUGUGUUUUAAAUAGUAUAUCAUUUCUUAAAGACAAUCAGUCUGCAGAUGGAUGCAAUAUAUUAGCAAUCCCUUUCUGAGAAGGGGGAGAGAUUAAAUAAAGAUUCGGUUUUAUUGCAUGAGGGUUAACUGAUUCGGUUUAUUGCAUGACAGUUUAACAUCUGUAGGAGAAGUGCAGUCUGAGGCUCCGGUAUCCUGUCUCUUUCUUUGCAGCUAUAUUUUGCAUUGUAUCUGUUUAAGGUGUGGCUUCAUAAAAAAGAAGCAGAGGGAAUCAUAUUCAAUAAGCAGCUUUGUAAAUGAAGCAUCCUCACAAUGAUCUUAGUUGAUUCAUUUAUGUUUUGGCAUUGCUGCAGUGGGAGGUAUCAGGAAUUCUGUCAUGUGAUGUGUGUUUAAAUAUUGUGAAUUUCAAUCCAGUAUGGCCCAGGACAUUCUGAGCAGAUGUUCUCAGCUGGAAGUUACUGCAUUUUAGCCCUUGUAUGUUAGCUAUUAGCCCUUGGGAUAGUGUAAUAAUGUCCCCACUGCUGUAUGCACAACCAUCCUUCUCCUGUCAUGUUGGGCCCUUUAAAGAUUUGCGCAACUUAGCCGCUGACCCAAAUUCAGCUGAAGAAAGACCAUCCAUCACUAGUCUGAGGGUCUUAUGUGUCUUGGAAGAUCUUAGACAGAGCGAUGAAAGGCGAAGUGCCUAAUACCUACUUCUCAAUGAGGUGGAAAGGCAUCUGUCUGGGAUGCACCAUUCAGAAUGUAGUUGAGGCUUACCUGAUCGAAUGCAGUUCCUUCCCUUGGCCCUACUCAGUUCAGAACAGAAGAAAGUGCCGGUAAUUUUUUUUUGGAGGGGGGAAUGUUUAGAUAGGAAUCAUAUCCCCUUUACAUAUAAUAAUAUAUGUAGGGGAGGGCAGGGUAUUUAUUUAUCUUUUUACCCCAGGAAGCAAAAUAGCGUGAGCCUUAGUAUGCAGAUAUUUAUUGAUUCAUUGGAAGUGAGAAAUAAAUAAGAAAGCAUCGUUUUUUAAAGUGCUGCAAAAGUAGAGUAUUGCAUUAUCAAAACUAUUCGGUAAUUCCGGUAUAAUUUUCAGUCAAUGUUUCCAAUUACAUGUCUCAGGAAGGAAAGCACUUUUAAAUUACAGUUGACAAGACGGUUUUAAUUGAAGUAUGGAAGGAGAAUGAUGUGUAAUUUUCAGAUCUAAGUAGAAAGAAGAGGAAUUUAUGUGCCAAAAGCUUGAUUCUUGAUAUUAGGGGUGAUGGUGUGUCUUUUUGGAUGUACUUUUGUGAGAAUUUGUGAGUUUUCCGCCAUACAUAAUUAUGAUUACCUCUCUUCUACCUGAGUAGAGGACAGAGGGGGUACUUUUCCUAAACAGUUACGAAAAUGGUUUGAAGUUACCUUUGCUACAUCCUGCAACUCUGUAAUUGUUAAAUCUCAAUUCCCAGGUAACACUAAAAUGAAGCCAUUAAGGUGGUGGGAUUUUCAGCAGACAGGAGAGGGAUGGUUAACUCUUCCAUGUCCCUCCCUCCUGGGCUUUCUCCUGUCAGGCUUAUAUUUGGUCUUGGAUCUGAAGAAGAGAAAAACCAGGUGUUUGUGUGGAGGGGGAUAGAAUCAGCAGGCAAGAGGUUGAGUGCCACCCUUCCAUUCAGCAAUUCUCUCCUGAAAAUUUCCCCUGAGGUUCUGGAAUUUUGUGUUUGCCUCCUUAUAAUGUGUGGUUCUACUCUAAGGUCUAUCGAAAGAAGGGAACUGGAGGGUUACUAGUCAAUCAAAGCCAGCAUGAGGGAAUCUCUCUUAACAGCAAUAGUAAAAAGCAUGCCACUGAGACUGUCCCUGAGAUCCAACUUGGCAGGUGCUCAAAAGGUUUUUACCUAGAAUUUUGCUGUCCUUACCAGUAUUUCAUUCUCAGCCACAUUAGUCAAAAAACAGCAUUUUGAAUGUGUUAUAAACAUGCAGCACUAGAUGGCACUGGAGAGCAAAAGAAAAUAUUUGCGAUUUUCCAUAGCGUUUUUUUCUUUUAAUUUCUGACAAUUUAGUUUCUGACUUAUGUAUAGUGUUUUCCCCCUGUGUGUAGAUCCACCCCUUUGAGAACAGGAGGAUUAAAAACUCUAGAAUGCUUGCUCAAUUUUUACAUCCUGUUCUUCUACUUUAUGUGAGUUUUUCUUUUUAGAGAAAAUAUUGUGGUCAUAGCAAGAGGCUCUUUCUGCGUGCACUCAAAAGGUGUUCUGAUUAUACUUUUUAAAUAGAACCUGUUUCCUAUUGAAAAGGAUUGGCAUAUGCUUUCUCCAAAGCAUUUUACCCCCAAGUGAUCUUUUAGCUGUAUUCAGAGGCAAUUAAACUCAGGAGCAAGAUUAAAGGGGGGGGAGGUGGUGGCAAUACUAUUCACAACUUCUUAAGAAAUUGAGCUACUUUAUCAAUUGCUCCUACUCUGUUGGGCUAAAUUAAGCCACAUUUAUAUAUCUGCUAUAAUAACUCAUAGCAAUUUUAAUAGAAAGUAGCAUGUCCGUGCUGGGAAGCCCAGUGCUUAAUGAAUUUUUUCAAUGUUGCAAGGCAGAUAGACCUACAAACCCAAAGUCCUUGACACUGCAUGAAGUCAGAGUAAACAAAGUAAACAAAUGAUAAUGUGGAUUCAACAUGCGUUAGUGUCUGAAUUAUGUACUUCUGUUGUAUAGAACUUUGAGAUGCUGGCUGGUGCAUGGUAAAACAAUUAGGUGCCAGCUUCACCCUGCACUGAAUCUAUUUUCUCAAUUUCAUCAUGAUAAUUGUUUCUGUUAAAGUUACAGGAAGAGUCCUGUUGGAUCCAGCUAGUCCUGCAUUCUGUUCCUACAGUAGCCAGCCAAAUGUUCAUAGGAAGUCGUCCCCAGAAACACUCUCCUUUUCCUGCUCCCUGAUAGCUGGUAUUCAGAAGCAUAUGUCCUCUGACAGUGGAGGUAGCACACAGCCAUCAGGGCUAGUAGCCGUUGAUAGCAUUAUCCUCCACGGCAGGACAAGUUCUCAUGGCAAAUAUUGAUGUGAAAGCAGACUAGAGCAGGAAACUGAAGUGGUGUGUAGGCACAGAGAGGAGAGUGAAGUGGACAGAGGGCUGCGGCUUUAAAAAGGAAAGACAAACAUACUUCCUUUCUCCCAGAUUUUAAAAACCUGUUUUGCACUUGAAAAAUGAAACUCGGCUAGAAUAUUUUUAGAUGGUUUGUGUAUGAAUAAAUUUAACAGGUGAUUAUCUUAAAUGGCGUAUUGAUUUGCUUGGUGAAAGAGGUUUACAGCUUUCCCAAUACACUGUGGGAGAUAAUUGCUUGGGUUGGAAACAAGCUUACCCCUUUCAAAUCACCUCUUUUUCCAAGCCACCAACUAGACUCCAGAAAUAAAGAAAAAAGGCCUUAUUUCCUUUUGCCUUCACAUAUUUACAUGUGCAAUGUCUGUGAUGGAACGAUUUUUUGAUCUUCCCAACUAGUAUUGCAGAAUACCCUUGGUUAAAUUCAAGGUCAUCCAUUCCAGAUCUUGCAUUGAUCAUCUGCUUGGGCAAAAAAACACUCUGCAGGGAAAGCUAGGUGAAGUAUUCUAUAUAGAAACUGAAACACUGAAGCCCCCAAAUACAACUCCCGCCUUUCCCACUCACCUUAGCCAGUGACCAGGGUUGUAGUCCCCACCAUCUAAUGAUGCAAGGUAGAAGAACACUAGUCUACACUACAGUGUGGUGUUCCCAGCACUUAAGAUAUGGGGGAGAGGGCAGUGAUGGACAAGUUUCAUUCAUUCAUUUCAAAAAUUAUAUCCAGCUUUUCACCAUGUAGAUCUCAAAGCAGCUUACAACAAUAGGAAUAAUAAUAAUAAUAAUAAUAAUAAUAAUAAUAAUAAUAAUAAUAUCAUCUUAUUUCAGCCCCCAACAGAAUAUUAAAAACACGAUAAAACAUCAAACAUUAAAAACCUCCCUAAACAGGGUUGCCUUCAGAUGUCUUCUAAAAGUCAGAUAGUUGUUUAUUUCCUUGACAUCUGAUAAGAGGGUGUUCCACUACCAAGAAGGCCCUCUGUCUGGUUCCCUGUAACCUCAGGUAUACUGGGCCGAGGCCGUUUACAAUAUUUAAAACAUAAAUUUCCAAAAUUUAUAAUGGGAAUUUAUUAUCUAUUAAAAGUGUGGAGGAAACUGUUAGGAUCGUCCUACUCUCAUGUAGGACCCUGGCAGAGACACAUGCCCGACUGACAUGUUCUCUCCCUCCUGGUCGAUUAUUCAGGAGCUUCAAAAGCUUUAUUCAACCUGAACAUCACAAUACCAAGAUACCAAGAAUCAUCAGCGCACUUAGGGAUCUGCAGAGUAUUUGCAGUUUGCGUAACAGAUCUCAGUAGCACAGCAUUUUGGCUAAUCUACUUUUAUUUACAUAUAAUACACUUGGAGCAUUCUGCUUUAGCUCCUUCCUCUUUCUCAUCAGACAGCAAAGAGAGAAAGAACAAAGGACAAUAGUCCCACUUCGUGGAACACAGUAACACAAACAUCCUGACUCCAUCACUUCCCACACUGUGGAAUGAAAACAUACACCAUCAUGUGAUAGACAACAAUCUCAUGACUGCAAACACGGAGAAAGAAUCCAAUCAGAAACAUCCAAGAAGCAUGCAGAGUGCAGAACAGUUUUGAGUGGUGUCUGAAACUCAGAUCUGUCUAACUUAUUGUAGUAAUUUGUGCUAUAGAAUUGGAUCUAUAACACUGAAGGCACAAUUCAUUGACACGAGUCAGGUUUUUGGCCCAUUGUGAACCACUGAUGGAGUUAUCCUGCGAUGAUCUCAACUUGGGGUGUACAGGGGAAGGUGGUCCUUAAAGUAUCCUGGGUCCAAGUUAUCCAGGGUUUUGUGCACUAGUACAAUAAUUUGAACUUGGCCCAGUAGCAAAUAGGAAGCCAGUGCAGGUCGUUUAGCACCAGCAUAAUGUGUUAAUGUGUCAUAGUCUAGCUGCAGUUUUCUGUGCUAGCUGAAGUUUUUGGAGCCAGCUCCAAGGGCAGCCUCACAUAGAGCAUGUUGCAAUAAUUCCUGUCUUGCGGUUACCAGCACAUGACCAACAGUGUCCAGGAAUGGUCAUAGCUGACAUACAAUUAUGGUUUAAGGAAUACCUUCACACUAUGUACCUGCUCCUUUGGAGGGACUGCAACCCCACCCAGGACAGGUAACUGGCCCAUCUCCUGGGUCUGAGAGCCACCCACCCACCAGGCAUCUGUUAUAUUUUUCAAUCUCACCACUGCAUCCACACACUGGUCCUGGUCUUAUAUAGCCUCUCCUGAAUCAGAUGUAAUGGAGAAAUACAACAUACAGGUUACACCUUGCCUCUAAGGUCCCAAUGGCUACUCUCAGCAGCUUUAUACAGAUAUGUUAAACAAAUCGUUCUCUGUCUUGCUUUGAAGGUAAGGAUGGUUAUGUGGGGGUGGUUUGGGUAUACACGUUUCUGUGUAUACGCACUAACCCUAGAAUGUAACCCCUAUGCAAGAUGAGAUCAUACUGUUACAUGUGAAGUCUUCUGCAGUCAGCCCCACUGUCUCCAGAUUGCCAUUUCUAUGGAAGUCAAGGGAAGCACAUUCGAAAAAGCAUUGGGAAUUUUAUUUUGCUUCCUUGCAAAGUACAACUUUAUCCAUCUAAUCCAUUUUUAAGCCAUCUGCACUGUGUAGAUAUGCUGUGAGUUUAAGCAAUUAACUAGACCCCUUUAUCUGUGAGUUUUGUUUUGGGAAAUCUCUCGUAUCACUUGCUUUUGCUGUUUGAGUUUAUGAUGAAAGCUGUCAAGUGGUAGUCAGGAAAGCAAAACUGUGUUACAUAAAAUGCUAAAUUGCUCUCUUCUCCAUCGAAAGGAACUGUGGAGUGAUGAAAAAGACCAGUGUUAUCAUAUUGGGUCUUUUGAAUUUUCUAGGCUGCAGCUGCAGCUGAUAAUUCAGUUUUUAAAAACCGCAGGAGGUUGUUCACACUACAAACGUAAAGCAAUUUACGGAAUGUGAUUAUCAGCUAUCCACUGUCUGUUUACCAGUUGAUAAUUUUGCUGAUUCUGCCAAUUGUAUCAUUAAUUGUUUCUGCCUUUACCAGAGUUUUGUACUCACAGAUUGAAGGUCAUGCUGCUUAAGGAAAAUUAAGUUCAGGUUUCUCCCCCACCCUCCACUCUUGAAAAGCAACCUUAUUCUGAGCAGG
Podarcis lilfordi (Lilford's wall lizard) is the source of this 15443-nucleotide non-coding RNA. The record is from the annotation of a GenBank genome assembly. NCBI's taxonomy places the organism in Eukaryota, Metazoa, Chordata, Lepidosauria, Squamata, Lacertidae.